Small nuclear RNA from Salarias fasciatus (jewelled blenny), 142 nucleotides. Its record names the gene U4. It matches the Rfam family "U4 spliceosomal RNA". From Rfam's summary of the family: U4 small nuclear RNA (U4 snRNA) is a component of the major U2-dependent spliceosome. The structure of U4 snRNA from yeast and human has been reported. NCBI's taxonomy places the organism in Eukaryota, Metazoa, Chordata, Actinopteri, Blenniiformes, Blenniidae. The record is from Ensembl.
AGCUUUUCGCAGUGGCAGUAUCGUGGCCUCUGAGGUUUGUCCAAGGCGAGAUUUUUGCUAGUUGAAAACUUUACCCAAUACCCCGCCUUGACGACUUGAAAAGUAAUCGGCAAUAGCAAUUUUUUGACAGUCUCCAAGGAGA